GAUAAACGCUGGCGGCGCACAUAAGACAUGCAAGUCGAACGGACUUAAUCGAUUCUUUUAGAUUCGAAGCGGUUAGUGGCGGACUGGUGAGUAACACGUAAGCAACCUGCCUGUUAGAGGGGAAUAACAGUGAGAAAUCACUGCUAAAACCGCAUAUGCCGUGAACAUCGCAUGAUGAAAACGGGAAAAGAGCAAUCUGCUAAUAGAUGGGCUUGCGUCUGAUUAGCUAGUUGGUGUGGUAAAGGCAUACCAAGGCAACGAUCAGUAGCCGGACUGAGAGGUUGAACGGCCACAUUGGGACUGAGAUACGGCCCAGACUCCUACGGGAGGCAGCAGUCGGGAAUAUUGCGCAAUGGAGGAAACUCUGACGCAGUGACGCCGCGUAUGGGAAGAGGGUUUUCGGAUUGUAAACCAUUUUAGACAAGGAAGAAACAAGACAGUACU
This 444-nucleotide ribosomal RNA is filed under the name uncultured bacterium. Its description in RNAcentral is "bacterial SSU rRNA". It matches the Rfam family "Bacterial small subunit ribosomal RNA", at positions 28 to 479 of the family's 1533-position model. The record is from RNAcentral.